This 431-nucleotide unclassified non-coding RNA is filed under the name Hevea brasiliensis (rubber tree). Lineage: Eukaryota; Viridiplantae; Streptophyta; Magnoliopsida; Malpighiales; Euphorbiaceae. The record is from RNAcentral.
AGAGUGUGGUUUCAUCCCUUAGGUGGAGUUCCCUCUACACUUCAUCAGAAAAUCAAGAUGCCAUAUAAGGAUGGUGUAAUCACCAUUAAUGCGGAAAAGGAUAGAGAAGCAACUGCAAUGCAAGUGGAUGGUCCAGUUCCACCACUAUCAGGUUUUUAGGUUGUUGGAAUUUAUGAAGAUUGGAUGGAUAUGAAAAUAGCUACUAUGAUGAGAAGGAUGAAGUUUUUACCCUGGCAUGGGCUUAGGAAAAUGAAUAGAUGGUCUGAUGACUUUUCUUGAGAUCAGGGGACAAAUCAUAAGGUAUGGAUUGGUCUAUCAACCAAUUGAAAAGGAGGAAGAGCCAAAGCCUCCUAAGUUUGUGAAAGAGGGGCAAUUAUCUGGACAAAUGAUCAAGAGCUGUCACAUGUGGAAGAGCUAGAACAGAAAAUCGA